This 253-nucleotide ribosomal RNA is filed under the name uncultured bacterium. RNAcentral's name for it is "partial 16S ribosomal RNA". It matches the Rfam family "Bacterial small subunit ribosomal RNA", at positions 524 to 776 of the family's 1533-position model. The record is from RNAcentral.
GACGAACCGUGCGAACGUUGUUCGUAAUCACUGGGCUUAAAGGGCGCGUAGGCGGACUGCCAAGUCCGGGGUGAAAUCCUCCGGCUUAACCGGAGAAUUGCCUGGGAUACUGGCGGUCUUGAGGGAGGUAGGGGCACGCGGAACUUCCGGUGGAGCGGUGAAAUGCGUUGAUAUCGGAAGGAACGCCGGUGGCGAAAGCGGCGUGCUGGCCCUCUUCUGACGCUGAGGCGCGAAAGCCAGGGGAGCGAACGGG